UGCACUCACUAUUGCAAGUCGCUCUGGAUAAGAGCGUCUGCUAAAUGACUAGCA
Salmo salar (Atlantic salmon) is the source of this 54-nucleotide non-coding RNA. NCBI's taxonomy places the organism in Eukaryota, Metazoa, Chordata, Actinopteri, Salmoniformes, Salmonidae. The record is from Rfam.